AUGAAUGCCCACAGGGCAUAUUUCUGGGACAUGUGACUCCUUUGAGAACAAAAGGUAUAAAUGCUAAGCUAGUUAGUUCCCCAAUUAAUAUUUGAAGCAGUCUGUGAUGCUGUGAGACAGAAGGCCUCGGGGUAACCAAGACCCUGCUUCGGGGGACAUUUGACAGACCAAGUACCUGAGAUGGUAGAAGAAGAGAAGAAAAUAAGUCUCCAUCUAGUACCACCACAGAGGCACCACCCUCUCUUGAGGGCUGGCAGCUUGGGCAGUAUUUUACAGGAUAGAGCUGGUCCUCUUCCCUAAUCCCAGAGUAGUCUAUUAACCCCUUCCUGUCCUGGCCCGGAGUGAGAUGAGUGCAUACUUAUGGACGUACUGCCAUACCAUGGGGAAUUUGUUCUGUGUUUACAGACACAGCUCACUGGCAUGAAUGUUCAGCAUGAUGAGCAAUGUUUGAAGUGAAGAGAAAAGCUGAAGCAGCAUAAACUCUGUAAGAGCUGUUCUUUUGUUCAAAGUGAAUGUUAGUGAAACUUCUUGAGUGUUCCAUGAUAAACUCUCUAAGUUGCUGAGAAAAAAUAAAAAUUAUCCAUUCCCAGAAACAAGCAUUUGUCAUUGUUGGGUCAG
Long non-coding RNA from Malaclemys terrapin pileata, 618 nucleotides. RefSeq lists it as uncharacterized. The transcript has 3 exons. Lineage: Eukaryota; Metazoa; Chordata; Testudines; Emydidae. The record is from RefSeq and is a predicted model, not a curated record.